AACGUCUCAGUUCGGAUUGUAGUCUGCAACUCGACUACAUGAAGCUGGAAUCGCUAGUAAUCGCGAAUCAGAAUGUCGCGGUGAAUACGUUCCCGGGUCUUGUACACACCGCCCGUCACACCAUGGGAGUUGGGAAUGCCCGAAGCCGGUGACCUAACCGAAAGGGAGGAGCCGUCGAAGGCAGGCUUGAUAACUGGGGUGAAGUCGUAACAAGGUAUC
Molecule: ribosomal RNA, 219 nt
Filed under: uncultured bacterium
Lineage: Bacteria
Description: partial 16S ribosomal RNA
Rfam family: Bacterial small subunit ribosomal RNA
Source: RNAcentral